UAAAAAAAAUUCUGAUAAAAAUCCUAAUUAUUACCACAUAUGGAAGUGGUACAGAUCAGAUUUUUGUGGGGGAGGGGGUGAAAAGCUUGGAAUUGGGCCAUUCACACUGCCAUGAAAAAGACAUAUGGGUCGUGUAUGGUUAAAAACUUCGGGUUUGGGUCGUAUUUCCUUGCAGUGUAAAUGUAGCUGUGAAGUUUAAAACAAGGGAAAAAAAAAAAAAAAAAAAAAAUUCAGCAAGCCGGAACUGGUUGCUGGAUGAGGCGGGACCUUGUGUUUCACACGGACCAUAAAAGGCGACGCACAUCCACUGCACUGGCAACUAAACAAGAAAACUGAAGUAAGUGACUGGCUGGCAUCAUUUAAAAGCAGUCUUUGUAAAAAGCCUGUGCAGAGACCUGGGAGACGAUUACAACCAAGCAGAGUGGCAGCCGGUUUUUUACCUGCAUCGAGACCAAUUGUUUUGAUCACCUGUCUUCAAGAUAAUCAAAAAUAAAGAGAAGAAGAAAAAGGGAA
Fundulus heteroclitus (mummichog) is the source of this 513-nucleotide long non-coding RNA. RefSeq lists it as uncharacterized. Lineage: Eukaryota; Metazoa; Chordata; Actinopteri; Cyprinodontiformes; Fundulidae. The transcript is spliced from 2 exons. The record is from RefSeq and is a predicted model, not a curated record.